GCGGAUUAAAAGAAAGCAAAGAGGACGUCAAGCCGUUGAGAAGUUAUAGCGUACGGAGGAAGGGGCUAUCUACAUACAUGUACAUAUGUAUUUUGGGUGCUGCUGGUGUAUACAGUCAAAUGUUUAUAUGUCCUGCAGAAAAGGGAGGCAGUAAUGUCAGCAUGUCACUGAGCAAGUAAAAGAAGCAUAGAAAUAAAAACAAAUCCAAAAGAAGAAAUAAAAACAUCAGCAACAGCAAGUACUUUCGACCUACGCAACAACUUAUUUUUAGGCCAACGCAAUCUGCUUCACCCAUUACCACCGCCUACUACUCAUGCAAGCUCGCACUUUUCUACCAUAUACAUAUUUUAACCUCGUUGCCGCUAUGCCAGCUUUGUGGAUGACGUUUCAGUCUGCUAUUGCCAACGCGCCUUCAUCGACCAAAGUAGGUCCUAGUAGAUCCUGUGCAGGCGGCUUGUAUGUAGAUAAAUGUGCCGUUUAUUUGAAUUGUUGGUUUUACCACUCCUGCAUCGUUUGGCUGGCAUAGUUUUAAACAGUUCUUUACGCUCGGAUAGACUGUCUGCAGUGUAAAAGUGCAAUUUUCUCGGAGCCUGCCGCAGAUUUUAAUUGAAAUUCUAGACAAAGCCUCAAAACAUGGGAUGAUGACCCUCCUCAAACGUGUUUUACCAGAUCGAUCAAAACAAAGAGAGAUAACAUACUUAUUUAAGCAAAACAUUGUUUAAGUUGGCCAAAUCAAAGCUAAAUCGUCAUAAAAAAUCGGUCGAUAUGAUACUUCCACGCUGGUGGUGCAUAUGAGGAUUUUAGCCCACUGUUCAAUCCGUCUUUAUCCCCAGAUAUCCCUCCAAAAGUAUAAAAGAAACGAUACAUGACACUGCGAAUCCAAGGAAGAUCGCGUACGUACUAAACAGUGUCUAAGACAAUAAAGACAGUACUUCAACGCUCACUUACACCCGGACAUCUGCGAUUCGCCUUACAUACAUACAUCAGCGCAGCAAAUCCAGCAUACUACACGCUAUUUCAAAUGAUCUCAUUCUGAAGCAAGACUGACAGCGCGCAUCUACACUAAUACGGCGUUUCCACGCUUCGUAAUUCGCUCUCCCAUUUGUCAUUCGC
This is a long non-coding RNA of Rhagoletis pomonella (apple maggot), 1113 nucleotides long. RefSeq lists it as uncharacterized. The record is from RefSeq and is a predicted model, not a curated record. The transcript is spliced from 3 exons. NCBI's taxonomy places the organism in Eukaryota, Metazoa, Arthropoda, Insecta, Diptera, Tephritidae.